GACAAGUUCAACACCACUUGCAUGUCUUUAUGCAUGAACCUUCAUAGGCACUUGUCAUCCAAUCCUUUCACCUCUUGGCCUAUAAAUUCAAACCUUCAACACCUCUGAUGAUCAAGCCACGCCCCAGACCUGACCUGAGCCUUAGAGCAAGAGAGAGAAGAUCUCAUUUCUCUCUUAAAGUCUCUAACUUAGCCUUUCAUUCAUCUUCCUUGUUCUUCACAAAAACCACUUCAAUCCUUCCCAAAAACCAUUCAAACAUGCUUAUGGGUGAGUGAGAGUCGAAUCUGGAAAGUUUGGAGAGAUUUUGGGCACGAAAUAAGUGAUUCUGGGCAGUUUUUCAUCUAGUUCAUCAGGCAGAUGAAUUUUCCGGCGAGUGCACCAGAAAAUCAACGACUUUAAACGCGUCUAUCUCUCUCGUCCAGCGUCCAAUCACGUAGAUUCAACCACCAUAUUUCCUAUCUAAGAGAGAAGAAUCCAUAUCUGUACCCAGUUCAUCUCUGGCGACGAGCGCCGCCGCUGGGUUCGUCUUCUCCGGCGAGAAGCUCGCCGGAGUUUUCCAGAAUUUUCCAGAAGUGUGUUUCAGAGGAAACUCAAGAGAAUUAACGGAUGCAAUAAUCACCAAGAACUAAGCAACAGAUGAUGAAGCAGUGGAGAUGGAGCACUAAAGUUCGCAGUAGGAAGAUAGACAAGUUGAGUAGCUAUUAGCAGAAGCAGCUUAUGUGAAAUAUAUCUAGAGAUGUGUAGUACUUAUAGCUGGUUGCUAGUGGCCUGUAAUUUAAAUAAAGGGAUAGAACCCUUUAUCAGCUCGUUGUGGUCGACUUGUGGGAUCUGGUUUAUUCUCUUUUCUUUUGGUGUGCUUAUGUGCGAUGUUAAGUAUGACUAAGAUGCAUGUAGUGUAUGAUACCUAAUGCUUAUGUGUAGUAGUAAUGUGAUGUUUGUGUGAAAAUACUUAGCUUGUUCUCACUAAUCGGUAGUUUAUCUUAUAAUAUGAUAAUAACUUGAUAAUAACAAUGAAAGAGAAAAGGGAAUAAUUCGGGUCGCCACAUGAGGCGCUCCAUACAACCUGUAACAAUAGGGUCUUACAUGUCCAUGCUUACCACAGUGAUGACAUCUCCAGGUUGAGCUUCUCAUUUUCUGAGUUGGAAGAUAAGAAUAAGGAAUCUGCCGAUAUCCUUGUUGGACACCAUGUUGGGACAUUCGGUUUGACAUCUUGAAUUCAGUCUUCUUCUCUGUAGGAAUGAACUUGUUACUGAUCUUUUUAUUUUCUUCCGAUGUGGGGUCUUCAGUAUAGCCUAAGCCUGUUAUAUCCUUUGCAACUUUUCCUGUUUCUAAAAUCAAAUCAAACACAUCAGUUCCUUUAUUCAACAUAUGCACGGAUUUUAUCAUACCUUCAAUCUUUGAAUUCAACACAGUGACUUCUUCUUGAAGAUUGCCAUUCAAGAUCAGCAAAUUCUGCUUCUCCAUCUCCAGAUCCUUGACAACUCUUUCCAACUUCUUUCCUUUUUCACAAGCAUCAUUCUAGUUAUUGAAUAGUAGUUUGUAAGUUUCAGCAAGUUCCACCUUAGAUAUUUCACCAUCACUUGACUCUGUUUCAGAGUUACACUUCACAGUAAGACCCAUGACUUGAGGUUCAUCUUCCUCUUCUGUAUCAUCAUCAGACCAAGUUGCCACCAUUCCUUUUCCUAGUUUCUUUAGAUAAGUUCCACAUUCUGCUUUAAUAUGCCCAUAUCCUUCGCAUUCAUGACAUUGGACUCCUUUGUUUUUGUUGGGUUUGUCUUCUUCCUUGUUUCUGCGAGCAAAACCAGAACUUUUUCCAAUCUCAGACCGCUUGUCUGGCACAUUUGGUCUAGGCCUUCUUUCAAACCUCCUCAUAACUUUGUUGAACUUUCUCCCAAGCAGAGUUAUUGCCUUAGACAGA
Molecule: long non-coding RNA, 1918 nt
Organism: Lotus japonicus
Lineage: Eukaryota; Viridiplantae; Streptophyta; Magnoliopsida; Fabales; Fabaceae
Exons: 3
Source: RefSeq, a predicted model, not a curated record